AUUGAACGCUGGCGGCAGGCCUAACACAUGCAAGUCGAGCGGAUGAGAAGAGCUUGCUCUUCGAUUCAGCGGCGGACGGGUGAGUAAUGCCUAGGAAUCUGCCUAGUAGUGGGGGACAACGUUUCGAAAGGAACGCUAAUACCGCAUACGUCCUACGGGAGAAAGUGGGGGAUCUUCGGACCUCACGCUAUUAGAUGAGCAUAGGUCGGAUUAGCUAGUUGGUAGGGUAAAGGCCUACCAAGGCGACGAUCCGUAACUGGUCUGAGAGGAUGAUCAGUCACACUGGAACUGAGACACGGUCCAGACUCCUACGGGAGGCAGCAGUGGGGAAUAUUGGACAAUGGGCGAAAGCCUGAUCCAGCCAUGCCGCGUGUGUGAAGAAGGCCUUCGGGUCGUAAAGCACUUUAAGUUGGGAGGAAGGGCUCAUAGCGAAUACCUGUGAGUUUUGACGUUACCAACAGAAUAAGCACCGGCUAACUUCGUGCCAGCAGCCGCCGUAA
RNAcentral lists this ribosomal RNA (500 nucleotides) under uncultured bacterium. RNAcentral's name for it is "partial 16S ribosomal RNA". It matches the Rfam family "Bacterial small subunit ribosomal RNA", at positions 30 to 523 of the family's 1533-position model. The record is from RNAcentral.